Molecule: ribosomal RNA, 547 nt
Filed under: Bacillus licheniformis
Lineage: Bacteria; Bacillati; Bacillota; Bacilli; Caryophanales; Bacillaceae
Description: bacterial SSU rRNA
Rfam family: Bacterial small subunit ribosomal RNA
Source: RNAcentral
AGCUUGCUCCCUUAGGUCAGCGGCGGACGGGUGAGUAACACGUGGGUAACCUGCCUGUAAGACUGGGAUAACUCCGGGAAACCGGGGCUAAUACCGGAUGCUUGAUUGAACCGCAUGGUUCAAUNAUAAAAGGUGGCUUUCAGCUACCACUUGCAGAUGGACCCGCGGCGCAUUAGCUAGUUGGUGAGGUAACGGCUCACCAAGGCGACGAUGCGUAGCCGACCUGAGAGGGUGAUCGGCCACACUGGGACUGAGACACGGCCCAGACUCCUACGGGAGGCAGCAGUAGGGAAUCUUCCGCAAUGGACGAAAGUCUGACGGAGCAACGCCGCGUGAGUGAUGAAGGUUUUCGGAUCGUAAAACUCUGUUGUUAGGGAAGAACAAGUACCGUUCGAAUAGGGCGGCACCUUGACGGUACCUAACCUUAAAGCCACGGCUAACUACGUGCCAUCAGCCGCGGUAAUACGUAGGUGGCAAAGCGUUGUUCGGAAUUAUUGGGCGUAAAGCGCGCGCAUGCUGGUUUCUUAAGUCUGAUGUGAAAGUCGGG